GUGCGAGACCGAUAGCGAACAAGUACCGUGAGGGAAAGAUGAAAAGAACUUUGAAAAGAGAGUUAAAGAGUACCUGAAACUGCUGAAAGGGAACCGAAUCGUUUCCAGUGUCUAUAAUCCAUGGUAUAUUUCAUUGGUGUGUAAGUGCGUGCAGCGUUUUGGAAGUAGUUUUCUGCUCCUGUCGUUGUUGUGCAUUUGCCUGCUGGUGCCCUGUGCUGUGGUGGGACGUCAGAGUCAGUUCGUGUGUUGCGGGAAAUGGUUAUUGGGGAGGUAGGUCACUUCGGUGGCUGUUAUAUCCUGGUAACUAGUCGUCGUGGCUGAGACUGAGAUGCCUACAACGCGCUUUCGAGUCUGCGGGCUUCUCGUGUGGCUGUUUGCUUUGAUAGCUUGCUAUGUUGGUGAAUAAGUCGUGCGAUUGAGACCUGUAGUAACUUGUUGCUGUUCGGGACUUUGA
Molecule: ribosomal RNA, 454 nt
Filed under: uncultured rhizosphere oomycete
Lineage: Eukaryota; Oomycota
Description: eukaryotic LSU rRNA
Rfam family: Eukaryotic large subunit ribosomal RNA
Source: RNAcentral